Molecule: ribosomal RNA, 433 nt
Filed under: uncultured bacterium
Lineage: Bacteria
Description: partial 16S ribosomal RNA
Rfam family: Bacterial small subunit ribosomal RNA
Source: RNAcentral
AGCGAACGCUGGCGGCAGGCCUAACACAUGCAAGUCGAACGAACCUUUCGGGGUUAGUGGCGGACGGGUGAGUAACACGUGGGAACGUGCCUUUAGGUUCGGAAUAACUCAGGGAAACUUGUGCUAAUACCGAAUGUGCCCUUCGGGGGAAAGAUUAAUCGCCUUUAGAGCGGCCCGCGUCUGAUUAGCUAGUUGGUUGAGGUAAUGGCUCACCAAGGCGACGAUCAGUAGCUGGUCUGAGAGGAUGAUCAGCCACAUUGGGACUGAGACACGGCCCAAACGCCUACGGGAGGCAGCAGUGGGGAAUCUUGCGCAAUGGGCGAAAGCCUGACGCAGCCAUGCCGCGUGAAUGAUGAAGGUCUUAGGAUUGUAAAAUUCUUUCACCGGGGACGAUAAUGACGGUACCCGGAGAAGAAGCCCCGGCUAACUUCGU